RNAcentral lists this ribosomal RNA (253 nucleotides) under uncultured bacterium. RNAcentral's name for it is "partial 16S ribosomal RNA". It matches the Rfam family "Bacterial small subunit ribosomal RNA", at positions 524 to 776 of the family's 1533-position model. The record is from RNAcentral.
UACGUAGGGUGCGAGCGUUAAUCGGAAUUACUGGGCGUAAAGCGUGCGCAGGCGGUUUUGUAAGCCAGAUGUGAAAGCCCCGGGCUCAACCUGGGAAUGGCAUUUGGGACUGCAAGGCUUGAGUGCGGCAGAGGAGACUGGAAUUCCUGGUGUAGCAGUGAAAUGCGUAGAUAUUAGGAGGAAUACCGAUGGCGAAGGCAGGUCUCUGGGCUGACACUGACGCUCAUGCACGAAAGCGUGGGGAGCAAACAGG